This is a ribosomal RNA of 454 nucleotides. It matches the Rfam family "Bacterial small subunit ribosomal RNA", at positions 341 to 792 of the family's 1533-position model.
ACGGGAGGCAGCAGUGAGGAAUAUUGGUCAAUGGACGAGAGUCUGAACCAGCCAAGUAGCGUGCAGGAUGACGGCCCUAUGGGUUGUAAACUGCUUUUGUACGGGAAUAAAGUGACCUACGUGUAGGUUUUUGCAUGUACCGUAAGAAUAAGGACCGGCUAAUUCCGUGCCAGCAGCCGCGGUAAUACGUAGGGAGCAAGCGUUAUCCGGAUUUACUGGGUGUAAAGGGCGUGUAGGCGGGACAUCAAGUCAGAUGUGAAAGCACGAGGCUCAACUUCGUGUCUGCAUUUGAAACUGACGUUCUUGAGUGUUGGAGAGGCUAACGGAACUCCUAGUGUAGCGGUGAAAUGCGUAGAUAUUAGGAAGAACACCAGUGGCGAAGGCGGUUAGCUGGACAAUAACUGACGCUGAGGCGCGAAAGCGUGGGUAGCAAACAGGAUUAGAUACCCUGGUA